UGGGGAAUUUUGGACAAUGGGCGAAAGCCUGAUCCAGCAAUGCCGCGUGUGUGAAGAAGGCCUUCGGGUUGUAAAGCACUUUUGUCCGGAAAGAAAUCCUUGGCUCUAAUACAGUCGGGGGAUGACGGUACCGGAAGAAUAAGCACCGGCUAACUACGUGCCAGCAGCCGCGGUAAUACGUAGGGUGCAAGCGUUAAUCGGAAUUACUGGGCGUAAAGCGUGCGCAGGCGGUUUGCUAAGACCGAUGUGAAAUCCCCGGGCUCAACCUGGGAACUGCAUUGGUGACUGGCAGGCUAGAGUAUGGCAGAGGGGGGUAGAGUUCCACGUGUAGCAGUGAAAUGCGUAGAGAUGUGGAGGAAUACCGAUGGCGAAGGCAGCCCCCUGGGCCAAUACUGACGCUCAUGCACGAAAGCGUGGGGAGCAAACAGGAUUAGAUACCCUGGUAGUCCACGCCCUAAACGAUGUCAACUAGUUGUUGGGGAUUCAUUUCCUUAGUAACGUAGCUAACGCGUGAAGUUGACCGCCUGGGGAGUACGGUCGCAAGAUUAAAACUCAAAGGAAUUGACGGGGUCAUAGCUGUUUCCU
Molecule: ribosomal RNA, 585 nt
Filed under: uncultured bacterium
Lineage: Bacteria
Description: partial 16S ribosomal RNA
Rfam family: Bacterial small subunit ribosomal RNA
Source: RNAcentral